This 774-nucleotide ribosomal RNA is filed under the name Bacillus subtilis. RNAcentral describes it as "bacterial SSU rRNA". It matches the Rfam family "Bacterial small subunit ribosomal RNA", at positions 37 to 795 of the family's 1533-position model. The record is from RNAcentral. Lineage: Bacteria; Bacillati; Bacillota; Bacilli; Caryophanales; Bacillaceae.
UGGGGGCUUGCUAUACAUGCAAGUCGAGCGGACAGAUGGGAGCUUGCUCCCUGAUGUUAGCGGCGGACGGGUGAGUAACACGUGGGUAACCUGCCUGUAAGACUGGGAUAACUCCGGGAAACCGGGGCUAAUACCGGAUGGUUGUUUGAACCGCAUGGUUCAAACAUAAAAGGUGGCUUCGGCUACCACUUACAGAUGGACCCGCGGCGCAUUAGCUAGUUGGUGAGGUAACGGCUCACCAAGGCAACGAUGCGUAGCCGACCUGAGAGGGUGAUCGGCCACACUGGGACUGAGACACGGCCCAGACUCCUACGGGAGGCAGCAGUAGGGAAUCUUCCGCAAUGGACGAAAGUCUGACGGAGCAACGCCGCGUGAGUGAUGAAGGUUUUCGGAUCGUAAAGCUCUGUUGUUAGGGAAGAACAAGUACCGUUCGAAUAGGGCGGUACCUUGACGGUACCUAACCAGAAAGCCACGGCUAACUACGUGCCAGCAGCCGCGGUAAUACGUAGGUGGCAAGCGUUGUCCGGAAUUAUUGGGCGUAAAGGGCUCGCAGGCGGCUUCUUAAGUCUGAUGUGAAAGCCCCCGGCUCAACCGGGGAGGGUCAUUGGAAACUGGGGAACUUGAGUGCAGAAGAGGAGAGUGGAAUUCCACGUGUAUCUGUGAAACGCGUAGAUAUGUGGAGGAACACCAGUGUCGAAAGCGACUCUCUGGUCUGUAACUGACGCUGAUGAAUUAAAGCGUGGGGAACGAACAAGAAUAGAUAACCUGGUAGUC